RNAcentral lists this long non-coding RNA (1023 nucleotides) under Takifugu rubripes (torafugu). RNAcentral describes it as "lncRNA (ENSTRUG00000026636.1)". The record is from RNAcentral. Lineage: Eukaryota; Metazoa; Chordata; Actinopteri; Tetraodontiformes; Tetraodontidae.
GUACAAGUUGCACUGUCUCACCUCCUGUCUCACCUCCCGUCUCACCUCCUGUCUCACCUCCUGUCUUACCUCCUGUCUCACCUCCUGUUUUACCUCCUGUCUCACCUGUUGUCUCACCUCCUGUCUCACCUCCCGUCUCACCUCCUGUCUCACCUCCUGUCUCACCUCCCGUCUCACCUCCUGUCUCACCUCCUGUCUUACCUCCUGUCUCACCUCCUGUUUUACCUCCUGUCUCACCUGUUGUCUCACUUCCUGUCUCGCCUCCUGUCUCACUUCCUGUCUCACCUCCUGUCUCACCUCCUGUCUCACCUCCUGUCUCACCUCCUGUCUCACUUCCUGUCUUACCUCCUGUCUCACCUCCUGUCUCGCCUCCUGUCUCACUUCCUGUCUCACCUCCUGUCUCGCCUCCUGUCUCACCUCCUGUCUCACCUCCUGUCUCACCUCCUGUCUCGCCUCCUGUCUCACCUCCUGUCUCCCUCCUGUCUCACCUCCUGUCUUACCUCCUGUCUCACCUCCUGUUUUACCUCCUGUCUCACCUCUUGUCUCACCUCCUGUCUCACCUCCUGUCUCACCUCCCGUCUCACCUCCUGUCUCACCUCCUGUCUUACCUCCUGUCUCACCUCCUGUUUUACCUCCUGUCUCACCUGUUGUCUCACUUCCUGUCUCACCUCCUGUCUCGCCUCCUGUCUCACUUCCUGUCUCACCUCCUGUCUCACCUCCUGUCUCACCUCCUGUCUUACCUCCUGUCUCACUUCCUGUCUUACCUCCUGUCCACCUCCUGUCUCACUUCCUGUCUCACUUCCUGUCUUACCUCCUGUCUCACCUCCUGUCUCGCCUCCUGUCUCGCUUCCUGUCUCACCUCCUGUCUCGCCCUCCUGUCUCACCUCCUGUCUCCCCUCCUGUCUCACCUCCUGUCUCACCUCCUGUCUCACCUCCUGUCUCACCUCCUGUCUAACCUGUUGUCUCUUCCUUUCUAGGAGGGUCUCUCUGCUGGUCCUGGAGCCUCUCCGUGUCUUCCCCUGA